GAUGAAGAACGUAGCGAAAUGCGAUAAGUAGUGUGAAUUGCAGAAUUCAGUGAAUCAUCGAAUCUUUGAACGCACAUUGCGCCCUAUAGUAUUCUGUAGGGCAUGCAUGUUCGAGCGUCAUUUGUACCUUCAAGCUUUGCUUGGUGUUGGGUGUUUGUCCUCUCCCUGGUGUUUGGACUCGCCUUAAAACAAUUGGCAGCCAGUGUUUUGGUAUUGAAGCGCAGCACAAUUUGCGAUUCUGGCCUUAAAAUACUAGCGUCCAUAAGUACAUUCUCACUUUUGACCUCGGAUCAUGUAGGGAUACCCGCUGAACUUAAGCAUAUCAAAAGCGGAGGA
RNAcentral lists this unclassified non-coding RNA (336 nucleotides) under soil metagenome. RNAcentral's name for it is "partial contains 5.8S ribosomal RNA, internal transcribed spacer 2, and large subunit ribosomal RNA". The stretch from base 1 to 120 matches the Rfam family "5.8S ribosomal RNA", at positions 35 to 154 of the family's 154-position model. The record is from RNAcentral.